Molecule: ribosomal RNA, 464 nt
Filed under: uncultured Anaerolineaceae bacterium
Lineage: Bacteria; Bacillati; Chloroflexota; Anaerolineae; Anaerolineales; Anaerolineaceae
Description: bacterial SSU rRNA
Rfam family: Bacterial small subunit ribosomal RNA
Source: RNAcentral
CUUAAAUGAAUUGACGGGACCCGCACAAGCAGCGGAGCGUGUGGUUUAAUUCGUUGCUACACGAAGAACCUUACCUGGGUUUGACAUAUAGGUUGUAGGGAACUGAAAAGGGACCGACCUUCGGGAGCCUAUACAGGUGUUGCAUGGCUGUCGUCAGCUCGUGUCGUGAGAUGUUCGGUUAAGUCCGCUAACGAGCGCAACCCUCGUCGUACGUUAUAUGUGUCAUACGAGACUGCCGGUAAAAGCCGGAGGAAGGUGAGGAUGAUGUCAAGUCAGCAUGACCUUUAUAUCCAGGGCUACACACACGCUACAAUGGUCUGUACAAUGGGUAGCCAAGCCGCGAGGCGGAGCCAAUCCUGAAAGCAGGCCUCAGUUCAGAUUGCAGUCUGCAACUCGACUGCAUGAAGUCGGAAUCGCUAGUAAUCGUGAAUCAGAAUGUCACGGUGAAUACGUUCCCGGGCCUU